Long non-coding RNA from Varroa destructor (honeybee mite), 408 nucleotides. The record is from RefSeq and is a predicted model, not a curated record. NCBI's taxonomy places the organism in Eukaryota, Metazoa, Arthropoda, Arachnida, Mesostigmata, Varroidae.
UGACCUUCUUCGACGUAAAGGAAGUCAUGCACAAAUAACUUCAGGCCGUACUUGAGCCACGCAAAGGCCACGAGUUUUACUAUCUCCUUCGAAAAAUGCGGAAAGUAGAUGGCUGGCCUCUUAUGUCUGUGAGAUAGAUCGACCACCCCAACGUGGAACUUUGUUUGUGGAACAGCGCUGCAUCACGUCGAGUGCUGAUGUCGUAAAGAGUUUGCUGCUAUCUUCUGCGCGCGCCCAAUGCUCCCGGCUGCCAUGUUCUGCAGACUUGUCAUGGAAAAGUGCUACCUUGGUACUAAAUUUGGGAAAACAUGCAACUUCUUUCACAAAUGAUAAGUAAAAAUACGUACCUACUGUCUACCUGUCUAAUACUACCUGUCUCCUACAAACAUAAUAAUAUUUAAGCGUAUA